UCCCAUACUUAACUAUAAUUUUCACAUCAAUACUUGGUUGGCUUCAUGUCUUACCAAACAACAUGCUAUCAUCUUUUUCCUCUUAGAAUAACAAAAUACUUUUCAAUAGAAUAUUCCUACAGAGUCUACUAUUUGUUGAUUUCUUCUUCACAACACUUAACAUUUUUCUAGAAUAGUUGUCCCAUAUUUUAUUUACUGGCGAAUACUUACCAUCUAAACUCACAUUUAUUAAAGUCCCAUACUAAAUUUUGAUACUAAUCGUUAACCAAUCAAUUCAUAUCCCACUUAUAAAACCCAUCACAUGCUCAUAAUGACAAGGUACUACCUAGACCAUUUAGAAGAAUUCUCACACAUAUUCAUUACAAAACACAAUAACACCAAAGAUGUCAUACAUAUUCAAUUUCAUAAAAACCCAGGACAAGAUAUGAUAUUGUUCAGAUAUGACGAAUAUUGGAUAACUUAGAUUUCAACUUUACGUAACUUAGAUAAACUCAGACCAACAAACAUUUAUAUCUUUCAUAAUUACGAAUAUGCCCAUAAUCCAAACUGGUAGAGUACCAUGGCAGAUAACCCCUUUAGCAUAUGAAUACAUACUUUCUUUCAAGAAAUUUCCCUUAAAACUCUUUCGAUUACAUUAUAGAACUAAUCGAACCAAUUUAACUUCAGUCGUAUCAUAUCCUUACCAUAAAAUUAUCUAUCAACAAACUCUCAGUACUAUCCAAAACUUACCAUAAAUGUGAAUAACCAUAUUUUACCACACAAACAACACUGAAUAUGCCAAUGAAACGAUACAAAGAUUUGCCACAAGGGCUUAGCAGUUUACUGUCUUAGCAGACUUUUACAGAAGGUGCCAUGGGUUUCUCCCUUAUGGACUUACAUAUAACUUCAUGUUGUGAUCUGCCAGUCCGGUUCACAUAUUGUCGAAGGCAUCACCAUGAAUAUUCUUUUUAUCAUAUUAUACCAUAGGUAUCAGUCACAUGGGCUUACAUAUCUUCAUGUCGUAAUCUGUCAGUCCAGUCUUCAUCUUAUUGGAGGCUUCACCAUAAGUGUUUUCAAAUCACACAAUGCCAUGGGUCUCAACCACAUGGUCAUGCCCUUAUUUUUGUAUCGUGAUCCUCUAGUCUAGUUAGCAAUAUAACUACCUUACUAAAGGCAUUGCAAAGAGGACAUUACUUAAUAUCCUCUUACCUAAAUUUGUUGACACACCAGAAUGAUUCGCACUUUCCUGUAUCAGAUUUUACCUACAUACUUACCACUCAUUUUGCUAUUCAGACAGUACUCUUAACAAAUCAUAAUCGUACAUAUAAUAAAAAAUAUGUUUUUCACACUUACCAGCUAUCUAGGGUUUUAACUGUGACAGCCCUAAUUUGACCCUAGUCAAAAAGUAGUUUCGGGACCACAAAACCGAGUCAUAAAAAUAAUUAAUCGUUAUAUUCUAUGCUUAUUGUAUGUGUACAUGCAUGUGUGAAAGUUUCAUGCUUUAAUUUUGUUAUUUGUAUGUGAAAUUUAUUAAAUAGGACUUAUGUGAGAUAAUUGUGAAAUGUGAUAGGUAAAUUUAAAAGUGGUCUAUUAAUGCAUGUUAUAAAAAGGUUGGACUUGCAUGUCAAAUAUCCAUUUUUGUUUAUAGUGGCCGGCCAUGAUGAUGCUUUUAUAUUAAAUAUAUGUAUUAAUUAUUAGUUAAAUGGCUUUAUACUUUAUAAUAUAGAUGAAUAAAAUAAAAUAAUAAUAGAAAGAAUGGUGAAGAAAACAAAGUCUCAUCUUUGUUCUUCUUAGCUGAAUCUAAUGAAAGAAAAAGAGGAGCAAGACAUUCGGCCAUUUGAAUCAUAAGGAAGGUUAGUAAAUUGUGUUAGAUUUUUUGAAAUUCUAGCUUGUUUUAGGUUAAUCAUCAUGUUUCUUACUUAGCCCAUGCCAAAAUUUUGAAUUUUGAUGGAUGAAUUGAACAUUCAGUUAUGGUUCAUAAAGAAGGAAUUUGAUUAUUGCCUUUAAGUUUUGAUUAAGAAUUUUUUGAUGAAAGAAGUUGAUCUUGUUAAAAGUAUGAAUUGUUAAUGCUCAUAUGUGUAAUAGUCGAACAUGGAGUUGCUUAAUGUCUUGAACAAAUGUCGUUUAGGUGUUUUGAAUUGAGUAAAUUAGGUGUUAUGCAUAGGUAAAAUUAUUAUGUUCAGUUUUGCUAGUAUAUAUGUAUAAUCAAUCCAUUUUACUAAUUAUACAUAUACGGUGAUUAAAAAUAAGAUCUUUGAUGACUUGUGUUUAAUGGCAUUCGGCCAAAGUCUAUAGGUGCUUGUUAAUUCGGUUUAAGUGUAUAGGUGCUAAUUACCUUGUAUUUGAAAUUUUGAAGAAUAAGUAGUAAUUAAUUAAAAUGAUGAAAACUAAAUUUUGAGUUUGAUUAAGUUGGGCAUUUGGCAUUACCUAUAAAAUUGAAUAUGAAGGUUGAGUUGAAUAGUUAGAAAUGAAUGAGUCAUAUAGUAAUCAUUAAUGGAAUUGCAUGCAUAUGAGUAUGAAUGUAUUUAUGUGUGUGUGCGGCAUUAUUGAUAAAUAGCAAGUGGAAAUGUGAUAAAUGUUCAAUAAGUUGAUAUUCGUAUAUAUAUGGUUGAAUUCGUGCAUAAGGUAGCAUAAUAAGUUAGGUGAAUCUUUGUUUGUGCAUGCGAUUUUGAUAGAGAUUAAAUAAGCAUGAAAUCGAGUCAUGGCAUGUUUUAUAAAACAUAAUAUGCAUUGAAAUUAUAUGAUUUUCAGAUGUGACUAUUAAAGAAUUAAAGUUGAGUAAGUAAUUAAACAAAUUCAUUUGUUUAAAUUAAAGCUCAAGAGCAAAGAGGAACUAAAUCCGAUAGGGGAAAGGAGAAAGCAAUCAAGUAGCCUAUCUGCAACUGUUCAAAAUAUCCGAGGUAAGUUUUGAGUAAUCGCCUUUAGUAUAAAAUUAAUGAUUCCUUGAUAUAUAUAUACUAGAUGAAUUUUGAUCUUUUUGGUUCUAUUUGAAUUAAGUUGUGUGGUAAAUAAUCUAAGUACAUGAUCUAUUGUUGAAUGACCAAUUUGACUUAAGCUGGAUUGGUCAGAGGUAUAUGUGAUAUGUAUGUAUGAUUUUUAAACCAAAAUGAAAAUGAUGGUGUUCAUAUGAAGCUUACGUCCAAAUGUAGCAAAUGGCUACUAAUGUGAAAUGUUCCAUAAGAUGUGUUAGUAAAUGAUUAAAUAGGUAUGAUAUUUGAUGUGUGUAUCUGGGCUUAAAGACCCCCAAGCUUCGUGCUGGAAUGGUAUCCGGGUUUAAAGACCCGCAGGCUAUAUACUGGAAUUGUAUCCGAGUUUAAAGACCCGCAGGCUUCGUGCUGGAAUAGUAUCCGGGUUUAAAGACCCGCAGGUUAUAUGCUGGAAUUGUAUCCGGGUUUAAAGACCCGUAGGCUUUGUGCUGGAAUGGAAUCCGAGUUUAAAGACCCGCAGGCUAUAUGCUGGAAUUGUAUCCGGGUUUAAAGACCCGCAGGCUUCAUGCUGGAAUGAAAUCUGGGUUAAAGACCCGUAGGCUCGUGUUAGAAAUGUGUUUUGAGUUCUAAGACUUGACAAGACUGAUGCCAGUAAGUUAAGUAAGAUUAUGACAUUGAAUAUUCGUGGUAUCCAUCACCGAGUAAGUAAUAUAUAUAUUUUACAUGUUAAGGUACGUAUUAUGUACUCAUAUGUGAAUUGAUUGCAAAGUAAAUU
This 3681-nucleotide long non-coding RNA is filed under the name Gossypium barbadense (sea-island cotton). RNAcentral's name for it is "long non-coding RNA (GBAR_LNC005359)". The record is from RNAcentral. Lineage: Eukaryota; Viridiplantae; Streptophyta; Magnoliopsida; Malvales; Malvaceae.